Molecule: ribosomal RNA, 498 nt
Filed under: uncultured bacterium
Lineage: Bacteria
Description: partial 16S ribosomal RNA
Rfam family: Bacterial small subunit ribosomal RNA
Source: RNAcentral
AUUGAACGCUGGCGGCAUGCCUUACACAUGCAAGUCGAACGGUAACAGGUCUUCGGAUGCUGACGAGUGGCGAGCGGGUGAGUAAUACAUCGGAACGUGCCCGAUCGUGGGGGAUAACGAAGCGAAAGCUUUGCUAAUACCGCAUAAGAUCUACGGAUGAAAGCAGGGGACCGCAAGGCCUUGCGCGAACGGAGCGGCCGAUGGCAGAUUAGGUAGUUGGUGGGAUAAAAGCUUACCAAGCCGACGAUCUGUAGCUGGUCUGAGAGGACGACCAGCCACACUGGGACUGAGACACGGCCCAGACUCCUACGGGAGGCAGCAGUGGGGAAUUUUGGACAAUGGGCGAAAGCCUGAUCCAGCCAUGCCGCGUGCAGGAUGAAGGCCUUCGGGUUGUAAACUGCUUUUGUACGGAACGAAAAGACUCUUUCUAAUAAAGAGGGUCCAUGACGGUACCGUAAGAAUAAGCACCGGCUAACCUCGUGCCAGCCGCCGCAGUAA